GAUAAAUCAAAUUUUCUUUUCAAUCAGUUAUCAUUAUUACGUGGAUAUUUUAACGUAACACAUUCAUACGUAAUUAAUAAAAUCUUUUUUAUACUUAUGCCUUAUGUAUAUAUACGAAAGGCAUUUUGUGAAUCAAGAACGUAUUAUGUGUAUACUCAUUUGAAAAGAAAAAUAGAAAGUGCUCAACAAUGUUCCAGUUUUGGUACAACAUCCACGUCGGCAUACACCAAUGAUGACUCUUACAAAGGUAACACAUACAACGACAACACGUACAACGAUAGCACAUGUAACGACAACACAUAUAAUGGGGGUACUCAUAGUGGAAGUACAUAUAACACGGGGAUAUACAAUAAUCACAAUUAUAUCGGUAACAUUAAAGACCAAAGUCAAUACGAACAAAAGAAACGAAAUAUAAAUAACGAACAUGACCCACAAAAUAAUUACUAUUUUUCAAAUGAAAAAAAAAAAAAUAAAAAUAGUAACAACAAUAAUAAUAUGAACAUGUUAAGGAAUAAUUCGAGUGAUAUAAAUUAUAUUGAUUAUAGUAGUCAUAUUGGUAUAUUUAAACCUGACUUAUAUAUACCAUUAAUGUCAACUAUAACAUAUAUUUUAUUAUGUACAUUAACUGUUACGACUCAAAAAAAUAGUUUUAAUCCUGAUAGUUUAUUUAAUAUUUCUUCGUAUGUAUUUUUAUUAUUAAUUUUCGAAACAGCUAUAGUAAAAUUUUUUUUUCUCGUAUUAUGUAGAGAUAUAAAUCUUUCCUUUUUACAUAUACUCUCAUUUAUAUCAUAUAAGUUUGUUAUAAUGUGCGCAUUAAUUAUCACGAAGAUACUUUAUUAUUUCUUGUUUCUUAUGUAUGCGUCUACUUUUGGAAUGAGUGAUAAUGAAAUUUUAAAUCCAGAUGAAGAAAAUAAUGCUGACCUUGUUAAUAAUAUGUACGCAUUUAAAAGUACUAAUAAUAAAUUUACAUUUAGUUUAAGUCCCUACAAUAUUGUUUUAUUUUUAAAUAGUUAUACUAUGUACAGAUUUACACGAAUAUAUUUUUAUAUUACUGUAGUAGUAC
This 1063-nucleotide long non-coding RNA is filed under the name Piliocolobus tephrosceles (Ugandan red Colobus). RNAcentral describes it as "lncRNA (ENSPTEG00000018081.1)". Lineage: Eukaryota; Metazoa; Chordata; Mammalia; Primates; Cercopithecidae. The record is from RNAcentral.